Non-coding RNA from Picea glauca (white spruce), 119 nucleotides. The record is from Rfam. NCBI's taxonomy places the organism in Eukaryota, Viridiplantae, Streptophyta, Pinopsida, Pinales, Pinaceae.
AGGUGCUAUCUUACCAGCGUUAGUGCAAUGGAUCCCAUCGAAUCUCCAUAGUUAAGCAUGCUUGGGCUAGAAUAGUACUGGGAUGGGUGGCCUCCCAGGAAGUCCUAGUGUCGCACCCU